Molecule: ribosomal RNA, 523 nt
Filed under: uncultured bacterium
Lineage: Bacteria
Description: partial 16S ribosomal RNA
Rfam family: Bacterial small subunit ribosomal RNA
Source: RNAcentral
GACGAACGCUGGCGGCGUGCCUAAUACAUGCAAGUCGAACGCUUUUUCUUUCACCGGAGCUUGCUCCACCGAAAGAAAAAGAGUGGCGAACGGGUGAGUAACACGUGGGUAACCUGCCCAUCAGAAGGGGAUAACACUUGGAAACAGGUGCUAAUACCGUAUAACACUAUUUUCCGCAUGGAAGAAAGUUGAAAGGCGCUUUUGCGUCACUGAUGGAUGGACCCGCGGUGCAUUAGCUAGUUGGUGAGGUAACGGCUCACCAAGGCAACGAUGCAUAGCCGACCGGGGAGGGUGAUCGGCCACACUGGGACUGAGACACGGCCCAGACCCCUACGGGAGGCAGCAGUAGGGAAUCUUCGGCAAUGGACGAAAGUCUGACCGAGCAACGCCGCGUGAGUGAAGAAGGUUUUCGGAUCGUAAAACUCUGUUGUUAGAGAAGAACAAGGAUGAGAGUAGAACGUUCAUCCCUUGACGGUAUCUAACCAGAAAGCCACGGCUAACUACGUGCCAGCCGCCGCCGUAA